AGGGGUGAAAAGAACAAAGUUUUGUCCAUCUUUGUUCAUCAUAGCCUAAAGUUAGAGAAGAGAAAGGAGAGGAGAAAGCUCUUGAAUGUUUGGUCACUUGGGGAAGAAAAUUGAAGGAAAUUCCCAACCAUAGUGGGCUUGGAGCUGUGAGGGAAUUCGGAGUGGCCACCCGUUCUGAAAGUUUGAUUUUCUUCUGGUGAACUGGACAUCCUUUUAUUUACAUUUGAGGUUUUGGGUUUUUAAAUGUAAUAAGGCUGCUUAAUUAUUUUUGAUGGUUUUAA
Molecule: long non-coding RNA, 281 nt
Organism: Gossypium arboreum
Lineage: Eukaryota; Viridiplantae; Streptophyta; Magnoliopsida; Malvales; Malvaceae
Exons: 2
Source: RefSeq, a predicted model, not a curated record